Molecule: ribosomal RNA, 253 nt
Filed under: uncultured bacterium
Lineage: Bacteria
Description: partial 16S ribosomal RNA
Rfam family: Bacterial small subunit ribosomal RNA
Source: RNAcentral
UACAGAGGUCCCAAGCGUUGUUCGGAUUCACUGGGCGUAAAGGGUGCGUAGGUGGUCGGGUAAGUCCGAUGUGAAAUCUCCAGGCUCAACCUGGAAAUGGCAUUGGAUACUAUCUGGCUUGAGGAGUGGAGGGGGGACUGGAAUUCUCGGUGUAGCGGUGAAAUGCGUAGAUAUCGAGAGGAACACCUGCGGCGAAGGCGGGUUGCUGGGCUGACACUGACGCUGAUGCGCGAAAGCCAGGGGAGCGAACGGG